Molecule: ribosomal RNA, 450 nt
Filed under: uncultured bacterium
Lineage: Bacteria
Description: partial 16S ribosomal RNA
Rfam family: Bacterial small subunit ribosomal RNA
Source: RNAcentral
GUGGGGAAUUUUGGACAAUGGGCGCAAGCCUGAUCCAGCAAUGCCGCGUGCAGGAAGAAGGCCUUCGGGUUGUAAACUGCUUUUGUACGGAACGAAACGGUCCGGGUUAAUACCCUGGGCUAAUGACGGUACCGUAAGAAUAAGCACCGGCUAACUACGUGCCAGCAGCCGCGGUAAUACGUAGGGUGCAAGCGUUAAUCGGAAUUACUGGGCGUAAAGCGUGCGCAGGCGGUUUUGUAAGACAGGCGUGAAAUCCCCGGGCGCAACCUGGGAAUUGCGCUUGUGACUGCAAGGCUGGAGUGCGGCAGAGGGGGAUGGAAUUCCGCGUGUAACAGUGAAAUGCGUAGAUAUGCGGAGGAACACCGAUGGCGAAGGCAAUCCCCUGGGCCUGCACUGACGCUCAUGCACGAAAGCGUGGGGAGCAAACAGGAUUAGAAACCCUGGUAGUCC